AACGAACGCUGGCGGCGCGCCUAAUACAUGCAAGUCGAGCGAGAAGACGUAGCAAUACGUUUGUAAAGCGGCGAACGGGUGAGGAAUACAUGGGUAACCUACCCUCGAGGUGGGGAAUAACUAGCCGAAAGGUUAGCUAAUACCGCGUACGCUCCUUGGACUUCGGUUCAGGGAAGGAAAGCGAUACCGUGGGUAUCGCGCUCUUGGAUGGGCUCAUGUCCUAUCAGCUUGUUGGGAGGUAACGGCUCACCAAGGCUUCGACGGGUAGCUGGUCUGAGAGGACGAUCAGCCACACUGGCACUGCGACACGGGCCAGACUCCUACGGGAGGCAGCAGUAAGGAAUAUUGCGCAAUGGGCGAAAGCCUGACGCAGCGACGCCGCGGUGGGGGAU
Molecule: ribosomal RNA, 392 nt
Filed under: uncultured bacterium
Lineage: Bacteria
Description: bacterial SSU rRNA
Rfam family: Bacterial small subunit ribosomal RNA
Source: RNAcentral